Molecule: microRNA precursor, 136 nt
Filed under: Hordeum vulgare
Lineage: Eukaryota; Viridiplantae; Streptophyta; Magnoliopsida; Poales; Poaceae
Description: microRNA MIR1122
Rfam family: MIR1120/MIR1122 microRNA precursor family
Source: RNAcentral
CAUAUACUCCCUCCGUUCCCAAGUUCUUGUCUUAGAUUUGUCUAGAUAUAAAUGUAUCUAGUCAUGUUUUAGUAUUUAGAUACAUCCAUUUGUAGACAAACUUACGACAAAAACUUUUGGAUGGAGGGAGUAUGCA